AUUGAACGCUGGCGGCAGGCCUAACACAUGCAAGUCGAGCGGAUGAAAGGGGCUUGCUCCUGGAUUCAGCGGCGGACGGGUGAGUAAUGCGCAGGAAUCUACCUAGUAGUGGGGGAUAACGUUUCGAAAGGAACGCUAAUACCGCAUACGUUCUGAGGAAGAAAGCAGGGGAUCGUAAGACCUUGCGCUAUUAGAUGAGCUUGCGUCCGAUUAGCUAGUUGGUGGGGUAAAGGCCUACCAAGGCGACGAUCGGUAACUGGUCUGAGAGGAUGAUCAGUCACACUGGAACUGAGACACGGUCCAGACUCCUACGGGAGGCAGCAGUGGGGAAUAUUGGACAAUGGGGGGCAACCCUGAUCCAGCCAUGCCGCGUGUGUGAAGAAGGCCUUCGGGUUGUAAAGCACUUUAAGACGGGGAGGAAGGGCCUGAUGGCUAAUAUCCAUCGGGAUUGACGUUACCCGCAGAAUAAGCACCGGC
This 477-nucleotide ribosomal RNA is filed under the name uncultured bacterium. RNAcentral's name for it is "bacterial SSU rRNA". It matches the Rfam family "Bacterial small subunit ribosomal RNA", at positions 30 to 497 of the family's 1533-position model. The record is from RNAcentral.